RNAcentral lists this ribosomal RNA (497 nucleotides) under uncultured bacterium. RNAcentral's name for it is "partial 16S ribosomal RNA". It matches the Rfam family "Bacterial small subunit ribosomal RNA", at positions 28 to 507 of the family's 1533-position model. The record is from RNAcentral.
GAUGAACGCUGGCGGCGUGCCUAAUACAUGCAAGUCGAGCGAACGGACGAGAAGCUUGCUUCUCUGAUGUUAGCGGCGGACGGGUGAGUAACACGUGGAUAACCUACCUAUAAGACUGGGAUAACUUCGGGAAACCGGAGCUAAUACCGGAUGAUAUUUUGAACCGCAUGGUUCAAAAGUGAAAGACGGUCUUGCUGUCACUUAUAGAUGGAUCCGCGCUGCAUUAGCUAGUUGGUAAGGUAACGGCUUACCAAGGCAACGAUGCAUAGCCGACCUGAGAGGGUGAUCGGCCACACUGAGACUGAGACACGGUCCAGACUCCUACGGGAGGCAGCAGUAGGGAAUCUUCCGCAAUGGGCGAAAGCCUGACGGAGCAACGCCGCGUGAGUGAUGAAGGUCUUCGGAUCGUAAAACUCUGUUAUUAGGGAAGAACAUAUGUGUAAGUAACUGUGCACAUCUUGACGGUACCUAAUCAGAAAGCCACGGCUAACUACGUG